This is a long non-coding RNA of Myotis myotis, 930 nucleotides long. RefSeq lists it as uncharacterized. NCBI's taxonomy places the organism in Eukaryota, Metazoa, Chordata, Mammalia, Chiroptera, Vespertilionidae. The record is from RefSeq and is a predicted model, not a curated record. The transcript is spliced from 4 exons.
CCAAGAAAAACGUGCUCCUGGUCCCACCCGCUGAUUCAAGGAGGAAUAACACUGUGUGGAGCAGACCUGGACCCAAACUGAAGUUGGAAUCAAAUCCAACGAAGCCCAGGCUAGAUCAGCCAUUCCCAGCCAAUCCACAGACACUGAAGUGAGAAAACAUGAAGCUCCAAGCUCACCACCAACACAGUAAGAGCUAUGAAUACAAGGAAAAGGAGAUCGCGCAGGCCGGAAGGCUGAUUGGAGGAGAACCUUGACAGCAGCUACUUCUAGAUCUUCGCUGGCAAGUGAAGAUGACAGUGCAUCUGAAGAACUGAAUACUUACUGUAUUUUAAUUUAAAAAUUGAUACUGGUUUCAGUUCUUGGAAAGCUGAAUCAAGUUGUUUGGAACAACUGAGAUUUCUGUGGGACCGUGGUGGACCACACCCUCCUUCCCUCCAAAGCAAACUAAAAGGAGACGGAGGGUGGCCGAGGAUUUGGGAAGCAGGGAAAGGAGCGCCGGAGAAGGAAGGAACCCGACCGCCUCUAGGAAGGACGUGAUGCUGACCUUCAUUCAGUUAUAAACGCAGCCAGCUCACACUGUGUGCCCGCGCUGCCUGGUGAACUCAGUCCUCACCGCCACACCAUAAAGGAAGUACUUCAUUACCUCUGUGUUACAGAUGAAGAAGCCGAGGGCACAGAGAGGUGGAGUUCCCUGCCCAAGGCCACGCAGCGGGUGAGUGGCAGAUUCGGAGUGUUUAACCCAGGCCGCCUCUAGGGCCUGAGCUCUAAACGCCCCUGACAGACUGCUUCUAAUUUUAGAUUAUUGCUAUCAAUCCAACCUCCUGUGUGUGUAUCAGUGUCAGAUUGAAUUCCACUCUCCCCCGCUUCUAAAUAUUCAUGAUUUCACUUCCCUCUCGCCACAUCUCUUGCACAUCUCACAUUCCUCACCCC